AAGAGAAGAAUAGUGAAGUGAAGAUUCAAAGAGGUACUUUUGAGAGAGUGGAUGUAGGCUAUUUAAGCCGAAUCACUAUAAAAAUUCAGUGUUCUAUUUUCUUAAUCCUAAUUCUUUAAAUUUCUGCAUUUUAUUUUUUGGUUAAGUUAAAAUUGCUGUGCUAUGAUUUGCAUAAGUUUAUUGCUCUAUUGGCUGAAUACCGCUAUAUUCUGUUUGAACAGUAUGCUGAGCAUGGUUUGAGUUAACUCGGCAUAUAUAGUUAAUUUGAGCUUUACACGCACACAUCAUAUUAGAACACUUUGUUGAACCAAGCCACAAUUUUUUAAAGGUUUAGAGCCAGAACCGAAAAAUUGUAUUAGUUUAAUUCAACCCCCCUCUGGGACAUAUUUGGGACAUCAUUGGAGAUUCUCUAAAGAAUGCUAUGUGAUCAUUUGGGCCGCUUUGUCAAUUCAUGAUGUAUAAGAAGUGGUUUUAUUUUUUCUUGGUUUAGGGGACUGUGCUGGUGUAGAUAACUGAGAAUUGAAUCAUAAUUUAUGUUUAGUCAAUCAGAGUCAAUAUUGUUUGAUGGGGAAAAAAGAAGAGAAAAAUAAAAUGUUACUGGUCCUAGUUUUUGUGAAAUAUUUGCGUGCUUUAUCACUACUUGGUCAUUAUGUUAUUUUCUUUGCUAGUUGUUUCAUAGAAACUUGUUUCGACUUUAGCCUGCUAGUUGUUUCAUAGAAACUUGUUUCGACUUUAGCCUGGGUAAAACAUGUGUUUCUUGUUUGUCAUACUUAAUCAUCUAUGAACUUGUUUUUGUGUGUAUUCCUUCUUUAUAAUUUUGCUAUCAUAAUCAAUUCUUAUUUAAAUGUUUUUGGAUGCAGUAUUUGGUGAAAGGGAGCACUAGGAUUGUACUUUCUGAUCUUUUUGUUAAUUGUUUAAGCUAGCAAUACAAAUAUCCCUCUUAAACAAAGAUAAUUUUUAUGGCAUUUUGUAGAUUGAUGCAUCAUUUAGAUUCUGUAUAACAAAAGUAUAUAAUUAUUUCUUUAAUAUCAAUAGAAUACUCUUUGUUAUCUAUGAUGAAUUAGACAGGUUACAUCCAAAUGGCUGAGUGGUCAUCACUGGUUCACUAUCCAAAGUGGCAUCAAUAUUGACUUCUACAGUUUCAGUCCCAGGUGACUAUCAAUGUCAUUGGCCAUAAGUCUAAGUACUUGGUCUGUGUAGCUAUGUGCUUCCAUGGGUCAUCUCCUACCAAUACCCUGUGCUAAGGUCACACCUUGUAGACUUGCAAGGUUAGAGGGGUUGGCCAAAAUCUCCUAGGUGACCCCUGUUUGCCUAGGGACGACCGAAGACCCUUGUCCAACUUCAUCAUUUUCUUUUCUAUUAAGAUUGUAGGUAUUGGAGAAUUUGACUUAAAUUAUUUUGUUGGGUGCAACCAAUUGUAGAAUGCAAAACCAUUUUCACAUUGAUUCGUUCGAGCUUUUGUUUCACAGUAUAUGAAGCGAUAUUAGAGGAUGUAAAUGUGUCAUCAUCUACAGACUAUGAUAAUUGGGAUAAGUUGUUGAGCUUUGUACCAGCAUGGUUAUGAUAUGGUCUAUCAGUUCACCUUCUUUCUCCAGUUGUUAGAGAGAGAAAAUCUCGUGUUUUCUUUUGAUUUCAGAGACCUAGUUUCUCUUCCUUUGCCAGUUUCGUGGCUAUCCCCUAUCUCUCAUGGAUCUUCUUUCCCAGCCCGGACAUGGGUUCCUCUCCACCUCCAAGCAGAGAUUUGUAUAGAUUUUAUUUGGAUUUUUUGAAUGCAGGUUUGCAGUUUUUUUCAAGAGGGUGUUUUGCGCAACUUGUGUGGCUUGGCUGGGAUUGCUCACUCUGGUCUUGCUACUUGGGUUGGGCAUCUUGGGGCCUCAUAGACGUCCUUUAGGCUUUUUGGUCCCUCAAUGGCUAGAUGAGAAGAUGCCAAAGUUCUGCCCUGCCCCUCUGUGCUUCUUAGCUUCCAUGGCCUGUGGUUCUCAAUGAUUUUGGUGCCUAGCUAGUUUGCUUGAUCUUUAAGCGUUGUUAUGCUUAGGGCCUUCUGAAUCAAGCAUUUUAGCCAUGCAUGGCCCUUGGCGGUGUUCUUCAGUAAGCUUAGGCUUCCCUUGGUGAAAGUCUGUCAGACAUGGCUGUGGUGCUGCUCCUCCAUGCUUUCGGGUUCAUGGAUUCGGGCCUAGUACUGGCUCGCCUAGGGUCUACCCUUGUGGACUUUGGGUCUUAUUGUGGUUUGGGUUGGGAAAUUAGCUAGGAUCUCUGUAAUUUGAGCCAUGGGUUUCUCUUUGUAAUGGGCUUUCUAGCCUUUAUUUUUAAUGAAUCUAAACUUAAUUUUUGGAAAAAAA
Molecule: unclassified non-coding RNA, 2339 nt
Filed under: Hevea brasiliensis (rubber tree)
Lineage: Eukaryota; Viridiplantae; Streptophyta; Magnoliopsida; Malpighiales; Euphorbiaceae
Source: RNAcentral